CCUACGGGGGGCAGCAGUGGGGAAUUUUGGACAAUGGGCGCAAGCCUGAUCCAGCCAUGCCGCGUGUCUGAAGAAGGCCUUCGGGUUGUAAAGGACUUUUGUCAGGGAAGAAGAGGCUGUUGCUAAUAUCGACAGCUGAUGACGGUACCUGAAGAAUAAGCACCGGCUAACUACGUGCCAGCAGCCGCGGUAAUACGUAGGGUGCGAGCGUUAAUCGGAAUUACUGGGCGUAAAGCGAGCGCAGACGGUUACUUAAGCAGGAUGUGAAAUCCCCGGGCUCAACCUGGGAACUGCGUUCUGAACUGGGUGACUAGAGUGUGUCAGAGGGAGGUAGAAUUCCACGUGUAGCAGUGAAAUGCGUAGAGAUGUGGAGGAAUACCGAUGGUGAAGGCAGCCUCCUGGGAUAACACUGACGUUCAUGCUCGAAAGCGUGGGUAGCAAACAGGAUUAGAUACCCGAGUAGUC
This 465-nucleotide ribosomal RNA is filed under the name uncultured bacterium. Its description in RNAcentral is "bacterial SSU rRNA". It matches the Rfam family "Bacterial small subunit ribosomal RNA", at positions 338 to 795 of the family's 1533-position model. The record is from RNAcentral.